UACGUAGGGGGCGAGCGUUGUCCGGAAUUAUUGGGCGUAAAGAGCUCGUAGGCGGUCUGUCGCGUCGGCUGUGAAAACCCGAGGCUCAACCUCGGGCCUGCAGUCGAUACGGGCAGACUAGAGUGUGGUAGGGGAGACUGGAAUUCCUGGUGUAGCGGUGAAAUGCGCAGAUAUCAGGAGGAACACCGGCGGCGAAGGCGGGUCUCUGGGCCAUAACUGACGCUGAGGAGCGAAAGCCAGGGGAGCAAACGGG
This 253-nucleotide ribosomal RNA is filed under the name uncultured bacterium. Its description in RNAcentral is "partial 16S ribosomal RNA". It matches the Rfam family "Bacterial small subunit ribosomal RNA", at positions 524 to 776 of the family's 1533-position model. The record is from RNAcentral.